Molecule: ribosomal RNA, 184 nt
Filed under: Aeromonas veronii bv. veronii
Lineage: Bacteria; Pseudomonadati; Pseudomonadota; Gammaproteobacteria; Aeromonadales; Aeromonadaceae
Description: partial 23S ribosomal RNA
Rfam family: Bacterial large subunit ribosomal RNA (bases 1-164)
Source: RNAcentral
ACCGCUGAAAGCAUCUAAGCGGGAAGCGAGCCCUGAGAUGAGUCAUCCCUGACCCCUUGAGGGUCCUAAAGGGCCGUUGGAGACCACAACGUUGAUAGGCGGGGUGUGUAAGUGCAGCGAUGCAUUGAGCUAACCCGUACUAAUUACCCGUGAGGCUUAACCAUACAACACCCAAGAAGUGUUC